Molecule: transfer RNA, 73 nt
Filed under: Bacteroidales bacterium
Lineage: Bacteria; Pseudomonadati; Bacteroidota; Bacteroidia; Bacteroidales
Description: tRNA-Gly
Rfam family: tRNA
About the family: Transfer RNA (tRNA) molecules are approximately 80 nucleotides in length. Their secondary structure includes four short double-helical elements and three loops (D, anti-codon, and T loops).
Source: RNAcentral
GCGGCAGUAGCUCAGUAGGUAGAGCGUCAGCUUCCCAAGCUGAAGGUCGCCGGUUCGAAACCGGUUUGCCGCU